CCUCUGUGGUGAUGAAACAUGAAACUUAGCAUGUUAGACUUCAGAGAUUUUUUUGCCAAAAAAUCCAUGAGAAGAAAAUGCAGUUUCUGAUCAGAGA
Molecule: small nucleolar RNA, 97 nt
Filed under: Nelumbo nucifera (sacred lotus)
Lineage: Eukaryota; Viridiplantae; Streptophyta; Magnoliopsida; Proteales; Nelumbonaceae
Description: Small nucleolar RNA R64/Z200 family
Rfam family: Small nucleolar RNA R64/Z200 family
About the family: This family of plant small nucleolar RNAs belong to the C/D class of snoRNA which contain the C (UGAUGA) and D (CUGA) box motifs. This family includes Arabidopsis thaliana snoRNA R64 and Oryza sativa snoRNAs Z200 and J16.
Source: Rfam by way of RNAcentral